Long non-coding RNA from Mastomys coucha (southern multimammate mouse), 260 nucleotides. RefSeq lists it as uncharacterized. Lineage: Eukaryota; Metazoa; Chordata; Mammalia; Rodentia; Muridae. The transcript has 3 exons. The record is from RefSeq and is a predicted model, not a curated record.
GCUUUGAAAUGUGAUGGCCUACUUCAUAUUUUUGCCACCAUGCCCUUCCUGCCAUGAUGAAGUGCAUCCCCACUGGAGCAGUUGCACUAACCUUUCCCAGGCCUGACUCUUGCUCUCCUGUCUCACUGUGAUGAUGAGGAUCCUGUCAUAAAACCUUUGAAAGCAAAACAGCUAACCACGCUGAACAUGAUUUCCAUGAUUAUUGAUUGAAACUCUAGCCCAAUGAGAAAUCACUGCACUCUGGAGUACCUGUCAGAGAA